Cygnus olor (mute swan) is the source of this 879-nucleotide long non-coding RNA. RefSeq lists it as uncharacterized. Lineage: Eukaryota; Metazoa; Chordata; Aves; Anseriformes; Anatidae. The record is from RefSeq and is a predicted model, not a curated record. The transcript is spliced from 4 exons.
GGUGGUCUGCAUAUUUAACAUGAUUUUUCAAUUACUGCAGAGGUGUGUUUCAUCACCCAAAGUGAAAAAUCAAUGCCCAAUGCUGAAGCAGCUGCAGAAGUGAUGGGUACUACACAUUUCUACAGAUGAGCUUGUAGUCUGCAAACAGCUUAUGGCACUUCACUGUCAUGUUCCUAAUAACUUUGAGACUUUAUUUGGCCAAAGCUCUGACUGUUUUGGUGCUUUUAACAUCCUGGGGUAUAGGAACUUCCCCUGGUAUUCAAUUUUUAUAUAAUAGUGACAGUAUUAUUUUUUGUUUAGGGACAGAAGCAAGUUUCAAGCUGAAUCACAUUGUGCCUAAUCAAGUUUGUGGGAACCCCUUCUCCUUGUACCUGUUUUCAAGCAUGGCUUUAAAAUAGAGAAAGGCCAAUGGGCAGUCCUUGUUACAGGAGCCAGUGGCAUUAAAAUCUAAAUCUGAGUCAGCCAGGAAGAGGUGCGUACAGCAAAACUUCUACAAGACCUAUCAUUCAGAUUACCUUCCUGGCCUGUUGGAAGACAUACAGCACAGAAGGAUGAGAGAAAAGAAGGAGGCAUCAUAAAAUCAGAGAAGACAAUGGAAGGUGCACAAGAAUUAUGCUGAAGACGAGUGCCAACAUGUGAAAAGGAAAGCUAAAAUAGCAUUUUGACAAAAUGGCUGGUGUUACAGCUUUUCAGCCAAAAAGACUUGUGGCCAAUAAUUAAAACACACUAAAUCAGCACAAACAUGGAAGUCAUGAGGAGAGAGCGAGGCACCUUUCCAUGGCACAGCAGAAAUCUGGAAGUGAGCAAAAGGGAACGUUUGUCUGGUUUCCCUCCCCUACCCCACAGGUAUGUUUUAUCUUGUGCAGUUCUGCUAAGAAA